This 742-nucleotide ribosomal RNA is filed under the name uncultured bacterium. RNAcentral describes it as "bacterial SSU rRNA". It matches the Rfam family "Bacterial small subunit ribosomal RNA", at positions 8 to 796 of the family's 1533-position model. The record is from RNAcentral.
AGAGUUUGAUCCUGGCUCAGAGCGAACGCUGGGGCAGGCCUAACACAUGCAAGUCGAACGGGCCCUUCGGGGUCAGUGGCAGACGGGUGAGUAACGCGUGGGAACGUGCCCAUCGGUUCGGAAUAACCCAGGGAAACUUGGGCUAAUACCGGAUACGUCCUUUUUGGAGAAAGAUUUAUCGCCGAUGGAUCGGCCCGCGUCUGAUUAGCUAGUUGGUGGGGUAAUGGCCCACCAAGGCGACGAUCAGUAGCUGGUCUGAGAGGAUGAUCAGCCACACUGGGGCUGAGACACGGCCCAGACUCCUACGGGAGGCAGCAGUGGGGAAUAUUGGACAAUGGGCGCAAGCCUGAUCCAGCCAUGCCGCGUGAGUGAUGAAGGCCCUAGGGCUGUAAAGCUCUUUCACCCACGACGAUAAUGACGGUAGUGGGAGAAGAAGCCCCGGCUAACUUCGUGCCAGCAGCCGCGGUAAUACGAAGGGGGCUAGCGUUGCUCGGAAUCACUGGGCGUAAAGGGCGCGUAGGCGGACCUUUAAGUCAGGGGUGAAAGCCUGUGGCUCAACCACAGAAUUGCCUUUGAUACUGAGGGUCUCGAGACCGGAAGAGGUUGGUGGAACUGCGAGUGUAGAGGUGAAAUUCGUAGAUAUUCGCAAGAACACCAGUGGCGAAGGCGGCCAACUGGUCCGGUUCUGACGCUGAGGCGCGAAAGCGUGGGGAGCAAACAGGAUUAGAUACCCUCGUAGUCC